AACGAACGCUGGCGGCAUGCCUAACACAUGCAAGUCGAACGAGACCUUCGGGUCUAGUGGCGCACGGGUGCGUAACGCGUGGGAAUCUGCCCUUGGGUUCGGAAUAACAGUUAGAAAUGACUGCUAAUACCGGAUAAUGUCUUCGGACCAAAGAUUUAUCGCCCAGGGAUGAGCCCGCGUAGGAUUAGCUAGUUGGUGAGGUAAAGGCUCACCAAGGCGACGAUCCUUAGCUGGUCUGAGAGGAUGAUCAGCCACACUGGGACUGAGACACGGCCCAGACUCCUACGGGAGGCAGCAGUGGGGAAUAUUGGACAAUGGCGAAAGCCUGAUCCAGCAAUGCCGCGUGAGUGAUGAAGGCCUUAGGGUUGUAAAGCUCUUUUACCCGGGAUGAUAAUGACAGUACCGGGAGAAUAAGCUCCGGCUAAACUCCGUGCCAGCAGCCGCGGU
Molecule: ribosomal RNA, 447 nt
Filed under: uncultured bacterium
Lineage: Bacteria
Description: bacterial SSU rRNA
Rfam family: Bacterial small subunit ribosomal RNA
Source: RNAcentral